Molecule: ribosomal RNA, 835 nt
Filed under: Ramularia miae
Lineage: Eukaryota; Fungi; Ascomycota; Dothideomycetes; Mycosphaerellales; Mycosphaerellaceae
Description: eukaryotic LSU rRNA
Rfam family: Eukaryotic large subunit ribosomal RNA
Source: RNAcentral
GCCCUAGUAACGGCGAGUGAAGCGGCAACAGCUCAAAUUUGAAAUCUGGCGCAAGCCCGAGUUGUAAUUUGUAGAGGAUGCUUCUAGGUAGCGACCGGUCUAAGUUCCUUGGAACAGGACGUCAUAGAGGGUGAGAAUCCCGUAUGUGACCGGCCCGCACCUUCUACGUAGCUCCUUCGACGAGUCGAGUUGUUUGGGAAUGCAGCUCUAAAUGGGAGGUAAAUUUCUUCUAAAGCUAAAUACCGGCCAGAGACCGAUAGCGCACAAGUAGAGUGAUCGAAAGAUGAAAAGCACUUUGGAAAGAGAGUUAAAAAGCACGUGAAAUUGUUGAAAGGGAAGCGCUCACAACCAGACUUCUGGGCGGUGUUCCGCCGGUCUUCUGACCGGUCUACUCACCGUCCCGAGGCCAACAUCAUCUGGGACCGCCGGAUAAGACCUCAGGAAUGUAGCUCCCCUCGGGGAGUGUUAUAGCCUGUGGUGAUGCGGCGCGUCUCGGGUGAGGUCCGCGCUUCGGCAAGGAUGUUGGCGUAAUGGUUGUCAGCGGCCCGUCUUGAAACACGGACCAAGGAGUCUAACAUCUAUGCGAGUGUUCGGGUGUCAAACCCCUACGCGUAAUGAAAGUGAACGGAGGUGGGAAGGGCAACCUGCACCAUCGACCGAUCCUGAUGUCCUCGGAUGGAUUUGAGUAAGAGCAUAGCUGUUGGGACCCGAAAGAUGGUGAACUAUGCCUGAAUAGGGUGAAGCCAGAGGAAACUCUGGUGGAGGCUCGCAGCGGUUCUGACGUGCAAAUCGAUCGUCAAAUUUGGGUAUAGGGGCGAAAGACUAAUCGAACCAU